CCUCAGUCGCUCUUCCGUUCUGUCUUCUCCUCUUCCUUGCCUCCGCUAGGGUUUUGCCAAUCCGGGCUCUCUUGGCAGAGGGAUUAGCUUUGCUGGAUCUCAUCCGUUGUUUCAGGUAUGGUUUGCCCUGUUUGCCGUUGUCCGGGUGCUCCGUGCUUACCAGUUGUGGAAGCUCAUGAAGUCCCAGAGGUUUUCGAUGUUGUAGUUGAUGAUGCUUGCUUCGGGAGGAUGGUGAGUUGUAUUAAUGUUCUUCAAAUAUAUGUACUUUCUAUGGGGUGAAUUUUUGUGUGCAUGUUAUUCAAGGAUUUCUUGUAUGAAACUUCUUUGCUGUUGUACAUUGUGUGCAAGAUUCAGUAUGAUUCACCUUUGAGUUUAAUUAUAGGUAUUGUGUAUCUCAUGUAGUUUAAAUCUUUUUUAACCAAGGCUCUUUGUAUGAAUCUUUCCUGUUGUUUAGUGUUUGCAAGUUUAGUAUCACCAAUCAAUGUGGGUUCAAUCAACCAAUAUAUGU
Long non-coding RNA from Aegilops tauschii subsp. strangulata, 508 nucleotides. RefSeq lists it as uncharacterized. Lineage: Eukaryota; Viridiplantae; Streptophyta; Magnoliopsida; Poales; Poaceae. The record is from RefSeq and is a predicted model, not a curated record.